UCCACUACUCCCUGGCAAGUCGCGACAAUGAACGUCGCUCCACUCCCCACAACUGAUUCCACAUGGCGAGCCAUGGUGACAGCCACAACUCCAUCCCACUACUCUUCAUGAUAAAUUCCUCCUGGCCCCGUGCGGCCCACGACAAGGCGGUUACAAACAAUUGCUAUCAAUCCAUUGCUCCCUCUGCCUAUAAAAAGGGGACCCCAGAUACGUUAUUCUCU
Molecule: long non-coding RNA, 221 nt
Filed under: Elaeis guineensis (African oil palm)
Lineage: Eukaryota; Viridiplantae; Streptophyta; Magnoliopsida; Arecales; Arecaceae
Description: long non-coding RNA (EGUI_LNC053070)
Source: RNAcentral